UUGAAGCACCUAUGAUCUUAUCCUCUAUGGGCCCCUAAGAACAUUUUCGUACCGUCAAAUUCCUGUUUUGGUAUGAUGUUUCUCCGGAAUUGAAGGCCAUUUCUGCUCUGUCGUCUUCUAAAUGACAUUGUGAAUGAUUUCCCGAUAGGCAUUGAUUUACCAGGACUAGGUAUUCAUUGCUUCCAUAGCUUUAAUCCAUUCUGUACUACUAAGAUUAGAAGUUUUUUCAAUUGUGAUGUGAUUGAUGUGAUUGAUUUUGGGUAUGUGAUGAUUAUAUGUGAGUGCCCACUUUGAAUCCGACCAAAACCCUUAUCAUGGAAGUCGAUUACAGAGGUGGGUUUCUUUCAUAAUUCUGAGCAUUUUCUUUUGGUUAUUUUAACCUGCUGUGUGGGCUUUGGUGGUGGACUGACACGGAAAGUUUAGGCAGCUCAAGCAUUGAGGAUUUGGGUAUCUUUAUGUGCGAUUUCAAAUGACUUAAAGGCAAGUUUCGAAUUAUUUUGUUUAUUUUAAUGGAAAAUGGAGGCAUUGGGUAUUUUUAUGUGCGAUUUCAAAUGACUUAAGGCAAGUUUUGAAUUCUUUUGUUAAUUCAGAUGAAAAAUGGAGGCAUUGGGUAUUGAUGGUUGUCCUCUCUGGUCAAUCCACCUUGUGUAUAAUCUGUGUUUCUUGAAUUUUGUUGGGGUUGGAAGCAACCUGAUUUGAAUAUAUGUAAAGAUGCCUCUUUGUUGUUCACAUUCUGUUCCAAAUCAUUCGUUGGAAGGUUUUCUGCCGAGAAAAUGGCGUUUCUAGGGCUAUUGUGAAUGAUAGCAACAGCAGUGAACACUGAGAAUUCCAGAAUCUUUCAGCGAAGAUUUUUUUGGCAAUGAAUUUGGGUCUAGGGUUUACAUUGUGCCACAUAAUUUGCUUAGAUAAAAGUCUUUUCAAUAAAGUAGGGUUUCAUUUUAAGCAGCUUUCUCAUUUUCUGAAGGUUGGUAUGAACACCUGGUGAUGUGAUUGUUCAUUAAUAGACCUCUCAGGCAGAUGAAAAAAGGUUGAAAUAGUCAGAAUUAUCAUUUCUGUGGAUUUGAAAUGUGGCAAUGACAUUGAUUGACAUAUACAAAUGGUUAUUUUCUUCAA
Molecule: long non-coding RNA, 1113 nt
Organism: Cryptomeria japonica (Japanese cedar)
Lineage: Eukaryota; Viridiplantae; Streptophyta; Pinopsida; Cupressales; Cupressaceae
Exons: 2
Source: RefSeq, a predicted model, not a curated record